This 253-nucleotide ribosomal RNA is filed under the name uncultured bacterium. RNAcentral describes it as "partial 16S ribosomal RNA". It matches the Rfam family "Bacterial small subunit ribosomal RNA", at positions 524 to 776 of the family's 1533-position model. The record is from RNAcentral.
UACGUAGGGUCCGAGCGUUGUCCGGAAUUAUUGGGCGUAAAGGGCUCGUAGGCGGUCUGUCGCGUCGGGAGUGAAAACUUACAGCUUAACUGUGAGCGUGCUUCCGAUACGGGCAGACUUGAGGUAUUCAGGGGAGAACGGAAUUCCUGGUGUAGCGGUGAAAUGCGCAGAUAUCAGGAGGAACACCGGUGGCGAAGGCGGGUCUCUGGGCCGAUACUGACGCUGAGGAGCGAAAGCGUGGGGAGCGAACAGG